GCACCUGUAGCUCAGUUGGUUAGAGCGCAUGCUUGACAUGCAUGAGGUCGCAGGUUCGAGUCCUGCCAGGUGCA
RNAcentral lists this transfer RNA (74 nucleotides) under Planctomyces sp. RNAcentral describes it as "tRNA-Val". It matches the Rfam family "tRNA". From Rfam's summary of the family: Transfer RNA (tRNA) molecules are approximately 80 nucleotides in length. RNAcentral also lists the same sequence under 1 other name. Lineage: Bacteria; Pseudomonadati; Planctomycetota; Planctomycetia; Planctomycetales; Planctomycetaceae. The record is from RNAcentral.